GGGGAUGAUCGGCUUCGACGGGAGAGGCUGGUCCCGGAUGGCGAGCCGAGAGGUGCCGACCUCGUAAAAUCCGCACAAAACCUUAAGUGCCAACCGCACUUCCUACGCUGCUCUUCCUCUCGCCGCCUAAGGCGAAGGAAAGCGCAACCGUUUCUUUGUGAAACGGCGUCUGCCUGCCCCGUUCACCGACCGGUGGCAGAGCGGGCGUCACAAGGUCGGUGUGCCAUGCAGAUAUCCGUGAUCUGUAUGAAAGAAGGCUUUCGGGCCUGAACGGAUUGCCUGUCUUUUCUUCUGUUGAUCUCUGAAUGACAGGUGAAACCCAAGAUCAACUACGCUCGUAGAGGUUCGAGGGUCGAUUCUUUCGGACGCGGGUUCAAUUCCCGCCAUCUCCACCU
Molecule: transfer-messenger RNA, 395 nt
Filed under: Anaerolineaceae
Lineage: Bacteria; Bacillati; Chloroflexota; Anaerolineae; Anaerolineales
Also listed under: 1 other name
Description: Leptolinea sp012798535 Standard tmRNA
Rfam family: transfer-messenger RNA
About the family: Bacterial tmRNA, also known as 10Sa RNA or SsrA, is named for its dual tRNA and mRNA-like properties.
Source: RNAcentral